CCCUUAGAUGUUCUGGGCAGCACGCGCGCUACAAUGGUCUUCGCAAACGGAUGCAUUCUCGAAGGAGAAUGCCAAUCUUGGAAUCUAUUCCUUGGUCGGGACAGUUGCUUGCAAUUUUUCGACUCGAACCAGGAAUUCCUUGUAAUCGUGAUUCAUCACAUCACGAUGAAUACGUCCCUGCCCUUUGUACACACCGCCCGUCGCUCCUACCGAUCGAAGAGUUAGGUGAAUUGUUUUGAUCGAUAAGAUUUGACUAUGGUCAACUCUCGUUGUGAAAUUCUGUGAAUCCGACUGUUUAGAGGAAGGAAACGUCGUAACA
Molecule: ribosomal RNA, 319 nt
Filed under: uncultured eukaryote
Lineage: Eukaryota
Description: partial 18S ribosomal RNA
Rfam family: Eukaryotic small subunit ribosomal RNA
Source: RNAcentral